RNAcentral lists this ribosomal RNA (1664 nucleotides) under Ctenocephalides felis (cat flea). Its description in RNAcentral is "SSU rRNA". It matches the Rfam family "Eukaryotic small subunit ribosomal RNA". The record is from RNAcentral. Lineage: Eukaryota; Metazoa; Arthropoda; Insecta; Siphonaptera; Pulicidae.
CCUGGUUGAUCCUGCCAGUAGUAUAUGCUUGUCUCAAAGAUUAAGCCAUGCAUGUCUCAGUGCAAGCCACAUUAAGUGUGAAACCGCGAAUGGCUCAUUACAUCAGUUAUGGUUCCUUAGAUCGUACCCACAUUACUUGGAUAACUGUGGUAAUUCUAGAGCUAAUACAUGCAAAUAGAGUUUCCGACCAGAGAUGGAAGGAAUGCUUUUAUUAGAUCAAAACCAAUCGGUGGGCGGGCUUGCCUUGCUCACCGUUUGACUUGGUGACUCUGAAUAACUUUGUGCCGAUCGCACGGUCUAGUACCGGCGACGCAUCUUUCAAAUGUCUGCCUUAUCAACUGUCGAUGGUAGUUUCUGCGACUACCAUGGUUGUUACGGGUAACGGGGAAUCAGGGUUCGAUUCCGGAGAGGGAGCCUGAGAAACGGCUACCACAUCCAAGGAAGGCAGCAGGCGCGCAAAUUACCACUCCCGGCACGGGGAGGGUAGUGACGAAAAAUAACGAUACGGGACUCAUCCGAGGCCCCGUAAUCGGAAUGAGUACACUUUAAAUCCUUUAACGAGGAUCUAUUAGAGGGCCAGUCUGGUGCCAGCAGCCGCGGUAAUUCCAGCUCUAAUAGCGUAUAUUAAAGUUGUUGCGGUUUUAAAAAAGCUCGUAGUUGAAUCUGUGUCCCACACUGUCGGUUCACCGCUCGCGGUGUUCAAUUGGCAUGUCUGGGGGACGUCCUACCGGUGGGCUUAGCCCCGUAAAAAGGCGCGGCCCAACUCAAAAUCCUACCAAGGUGCUCUUCACCGAGUGUCGAGGUGGGCCCGGUACGUUACUUUGAACAAAUUAGAGUGCUUAAAGCAGGCUCAUUCGCCUGAAUUAUUGUGUGCAUGGAAUAAGGAAUAGGAACCUCGGUUCUAUUUGUUGGUUUUCGGAAUUCCGAGGUAAUGAUUAAUAGGGACAACUGGGGGCAUUCGUAUUGCGACGUUAGAGGUGAAAUUCUUGGAUCGUCGCAAGACGGACAGAAGCGAAAGCAUUUGCCAAAUGUGUUUUCAUCAAUCAAAACGAAAGUUAGAGGUUCGAAGGCGAUCAGAUACCGCCCUAGUUAUAACCAUAAACGAUGCCAGCUAGCGAUCCGCCGAAGUUCCUCGAUGACUCGGCGGGGCGGCAGCUUCCGGGAAACCAAAGCUUUUGGGUUCCGGGGGGGGAAGUAUGGUGCAAAGCUGAAAACUUAAAGGAAUUGACGGAAGGGCACUUACAAGGAGUGGAGCCUGCGGCCUUUACAUUGACAUUGACGCAUAAACAGGAUUCUGUGAUGCCCUUAGAUGUUCUGGGCCGCACACGCGCGCUAAAUGAAGAGAUCAGCAGGUUUCCUUGGCCGAAAGGUCCGGGUAAUCCGUUGAAGCAUCUUCGUGCUAGGAUUGGGGCUUGCAAUUCCCCCAUGAUGAACGAGGGAAUCCUAGUAAGCGCGAGUCAUAAGCUUGCGUUGAUUAUGUCCCUGCCCUUUGUACACACCGCCGUCGCUACUACCGAUUGAAUUAUUUAGUGAGGUCUUCGGACCGGUGCGCGGCAGCGUUUCGACAUUGCCGAUGUUGCUGGGAAGAUAACCAAACUUGAUUAUUUAGAGGAAGUAAAAGUCGUAACAAGGUUUCCGUAGGUGAACCUGCGGAAGGAUCAUAA